Acanthochromis polyacanthus (spiny chromis) is the source of this 1323-nucleotide long non-coding RNA. RefSeq lists it as uncharacterized. The record is from RefSeq and is a predicted model, not a curated record. The transcript is spliced from 2 exons. Lineage: Eukaryota; Metazoa; Chordata; Actinopteri; Pomacentridae.
ACCAGACUCUCCACUAGGCUGGCUUCAAAGCCCAUCUGCAACACAGUCUGCACCACCGGAGAAAGCAUGGCUGAUGACGCCCCCAGACCUCCGACCAUAUCUGGGUGAUGAGAUCAAGGGAGAGAUCCUGAGGAGAUAAGAGGAAUAAGGUUCUCACCACAGUCUCACCCAGAUGGAAAUGAGCAUCCUGUAUGUUGCUGAUAUAGUCCUGUCCUCUCGACUGGAUUAAGAACUCACAUCUGAAAAAAACACACAAAGAGGCUGCUUUAUAAUCUAUCUAUCUAUCUAUCUAUCUAUCUAUCUAUCUAUCUAUCUAUCUAUCUAUCUAUCUAUCUAUCUAUCUAUCUAUCUAUCUAUCUAUCUAUCUAUCUAUCUAUCUAUCUAUCUAUCUAUCUAUCUAUCUGUUUUGUAUUAUUGUCAUGUAGGGGCUGUACAGUGGCUUGGUGGUGAGCACUAUCACCUCACAGCUAGAAAACAUGCCAAAAACAUGCUGAGGAUAAUUGGUGAUUCUAAAUUGCCCAUAGGUUUGAAUAUGAGUGUGCUUGUUUGACUACCCUGUGAUAGAAUGGUGACCUGUCCUGGGUGUCCCCUGUAUUCACACCAAGUGAGCUGGGAUAGAAUCCAGCCUCCCUACAAUCCUAACGAGGAUGAAGCGGUAUAUAGAUAAUGGAUGGAUGAGUGGAUUAUUGUAAAGUGCAACCAUGUCCUGUUCAGAAAAUAUAUCUAGAUAAGUUUUGUAUUAUAAUUCUUUCUUAAUUUAUGUGUGAUCAAAGAUGGGACAUUUCAUGAAGGCUUCAGUUUUAUUUCACAUUUAGAUUCUCCCAUAAUCCAGGACUGUUUGAUCUACUUGUCCGAUAUUGCAGAUUUUGAAUCAACGGCAGUAGGAGAAAUAACGAAAAAAUCUCAUGCUUUUAUUUUUUCAUAGUUCCAGAGAUACUGUCAUUCAAAUAUCAUGUCAAAUUUCAAUGCAAAUGUGUGUCGACAGGCAAUAUCCUAUCAUUCCUAUCUCUGAAAGUGUUUAAUAUAUCAAUCUCAAAUUUCAAAGAUAUCUUUGUGUAUUUAUGUAUUUUAUGCAAUAGAAAUGACAGGCAAUCAGAGAUGAUCAAACAGAAAAUGUUGUAAAAAUUUAAUGUGGAUAUCUCUUUAUGACUCUGGCUAUAUGUUUGGGGUCAUUAUCUCAUUCAGUAGAAUGCAUUUGGGACUGCUUAGCUGCCUCCCAGAUGAUAAUGCAUGACAGAUAAGAAUCUAGAAAUGCCUAAAAUCUUUACACAGUAACUUAUUUAUAUGAAAAAUGUCUAAUAAUAAACUCAGCUGAUGUCUUUA